CCUACGGGAGGCAGCAGUGAGGAAUAUUGGUCAAUGGACGAGAGUCUGAACCAGCCAAGUAGCGUGAAGGAUGACUGCCCUAUGGGUUGUAAACUUCUUUUAUAUGGGAAUAAAAUGUUCCACGUGUGGGAUUUUGUAUGUACCAUAUGAAUAAGGAUCGGCUAACUCCGUGCCAGCAGCCGCGGUAAUACGGAGGAUGCGAGCGUUAUCCGGAUUUAUUGGGUUUAAAGGGAGCGUAGGUGGAUUGUUAAGUCAGUUGUGAAAGUUUGCGGCUCAACCGGAAAAUUGCAGUUGAAACUGGCAGUCUUGAGUACGGGAGAGGUGGGCGGAAUUCGUGGUGUAGCGGUGAAAUGCUUAGAUAUCACGAAGAACUCCGAUUGCGAAGGCAGUUCACUGGACUGCAACUGACACUGAGGCUCGAAAGUGUGGGUAUCAAACAGGAUUAGAUACCCGGGUAGUC
Molecule: ribosomal RNA, 460 nt
Filed under: uncultured bacterium
Lineage: Bacteria
Description: partial 16S ribosomal RNA
Rfam family: Bacterial small subunit ribosomal RNA
Source: RNAcentral